AAACAAAAAACAAACAAACAAACAAAAAAAAGUGCUCAGGCUGGAGGUGGGGCUCAGAUAGAGCAUUUCUCUAGCCUGCCCCAGGCCCUGGGGCAAUCCCCAGCAUGAAGAACCAGUAAAGACAUUCCUGUGCUUUCAACCAUAAAAAGUAGAGUACUCAGGAAUACAACGGAGGGACAAAAGCAAAACCUGAAAUCCACCUCUUCCUUCUCGACCUUAGAAACAGGCAUGGCUCUGACUUGCAUGUCCAUGCUGCUGCGCUUGCACAGCCCUGCCCUUAGGCAGGUGCCGCCGAUAUCACCGCUACUCAACUGGAUCUACAGAAGGCGAACCAGGCGGACGUCCCGGCGGACGUCCAAGUGAGCGUGGGCCCAAGGACAGCGGGGCGGACAAGCAGCACUGCAAGGGCAUUUGUGGUGACCACUGAGAAGAUGUGUGCAAGAGUGGCCUGACUUAAAAAUCACUUUUAGAAAGUGCACGAUUUACUCGGCCCUGGCGAAAAUUCAGUGAGGACUAACCUAAGCGAGUUGCCAUAACUUGGCUACCUACCUUUCUAGUGUGUUCUCCACUCAUUUGGCUCCAGGGCACGGAUACGUGGCCAAUUCAAACUGCUGUCAGCAUGAAGUGCACGCUGCCUCUCAAGACUUGGUACAGAAAAAGUAGUCUCUCGUGAACUGUUCACAUUGAGUAUAUGUUUAAAAUAUUAACUUUGCGUCUUCUGGGCUGAGUAAAAUUACCUCCCCCCGGGGCACUUUUCUUUCUUAAUAUGGCUACGAGCAAAUUGAGAGACCCCUCUGCAGGUCACCUGGUACUUCUCUGGGGCAGUGCCACCCUAGAAGACAGGAUUUGCAGGCUGUGCAGUGUGUUCCAGGAAUGCUGCCUGGCUAUCACUUAUCUCUGAGCACCCUGCCCCAGACUAGGACUGUUACAGUUGCUGCCUGUCUUUGGACAUACGGCCGGGGUAGGGGUGUCUGCCCAGCGUCUGCAGGAAGGGCCGUGUGAAGCAUGCUUGCACACACUGGCAUGGUGUGUGCAUGAGGAGCAGGCUGAAGUCCAGAGAGCUUUCAGGAAACCCUCCAUCAGCAAUAAAAGUAGUUUCUGAAAUACGAAGAAUCAACUAACAAACACAACCCUGAACAGAAACAUUCAGGCCCUCAGCGGCAAAAUGAAAUCUAAAACCUAGUGUAGAGCUGGCCUAUGAGCAGUAAUGUCCUAUAAAACUGCGAGUAAGUGCACACUUUAGAUGACAAAGGCGACUGCAUUAUCUUUUCGGAAUCAAAGCCGCUGCACCUGCACCCUCAAAUUUGCUGAGGGGCACUAGUUCCGCUCAAGGUUGCGUCAGCCACAGUGCUGAGGUAAAUAAGUAGGCACACCAGGUAGCAGCUAAUUGUCAUUAUUAAACGUUACAGCAGAAACAGAAGCCAACAGAUGUGCUCUGGGGUCACUGGCAGGUUCUUAUUUUUAUUGCCACCAAGUUCAGCUGGAAAGUGCACAGAUACUGCAAAGCAGUUGACAUUCUGCCAGCUUCCAAGAAUAAUAGUAAAAAUAAUCAUCAGGCUGCCUGCAGGGCUAUAAUAAAAGUUCCUUUCUCAUUACAGCAGGAUUUCACUUCUGGGGCGACAGUCCUUUAUUCUGAAAACGUGAAAACCCACAGUCCCAUCAUGCCACCUCCUCCAGCGCUGGGACAGAGGGGUCCACCACAGAUCGCACCAGGGACCACGCUGGACGUGCGGGGCUUCACAGGAACCCUUGCCCAGCGACUGCUGUGGAAAUCGACGCCUGCAGCCACAUCCCCUGGAGGAAGUGCUGUCUUGGCAGCAAGGGUGGUGAAGACACACUCUAGACCUGCCACCGAGUCACCCGCCCUGAACACGCUCCUGAAAGUAGGCCACCGAAGCCACACUCCAGCUCCUGGGACAACACGGAGGCAGGACUGACCCUCGGCUUGCAAGGCUCUCGUGUGUGGGGCACGCUGAAGGGAGCAGGGAUUCAGACUGAACGGUGGCAUCUACAUCGGGUUCCCGCCUGGGAGAUAUGUGGAGAGUCACUGUCCUCCAGUCACCAAGGUGGAAGCCUCCAUGUAAUUCCAGCCCACAUCAGGGAAGUGGAUGAACAUUACAACCAGUGACAAAUCUUUCUUCUUGGGGCCCAUGGUCUUGUUGGUUUCAUGUUGUUCCCCGUCAGGAGAGUGAGCUUCCUAAUGCGUGCAUGUGGGCUGCUCCUCAGAUCUAAACGCUGGGAUGGUCCUCUUCCAAAUGCCACUCCUAGGUCCCAGAGCGAGAUCUGAGGUCCUUUUUCCCUGGCUCCUCCCAAAGUCACAGGAAGACUCGCUUUUCCAGCCAUGCUGGACUUCGGGUGCUCGGUAGAUCUUGUCCAUGUCCUGACCUGUUCCACAUGCAGCCCCACUGGGAGCAGCUCUCGUUGUCCAUUUCCUGGAGGGAAACCCUGCAGGUCCUGCCAUUGGCGUCGGGUGAGUUUAUCCCACCACUGGCCUCCGUCCGGCAGGGAGGGUCUGAGGAGCAGUGUCCACAUCACCUGGCAAAGUGGAGGAGCCUGACUGGCUGACUCACUUCAAGAGGGUAGAGAGUAACCCAGGGGCAGGGUGUACACCACCCUGAAGUGGAUUCCAUGGGGAACCUGACCGAAAGACCUGUUGGGCUUUGUGGGGAUCUGAAGACCGCAGAUACAUUGCUGGCCUCUGGACAGGAAGGGUCCUACCAAAGUGGCAGUGUCACCUGCACGAUCUCCCACCUCAUCCCACAGUGCUGGGUGGGGCAGGGCAGCUGGCUCCUUGUGUUGCCCAAUGUGGGUCCACACUGGACAGAGACGAAGCUGGGUCCUG
Chinchilla lanigera (long-tailed chinchilla) is the source of this 2842-nucleotide long non-coding RNA. RefSeq lists it as uncharacterized. The record is from RefSeq and is a predicted model, not a curated record. Lineage: Eukaryota; Metazoa; Chordata; Mammalia; Rodentia; Chinchillidae. The transcript has 3 exons.